UGAUACUCAAGCCUCAAAGCCGUAAAAUUAUUUCCUCAAAUUUCAUUUACUUCAACCCAACAUUGCCCAUAGAUAAACAAUAAUGGGUUUGAUGUUAAAAUCAAAACCAGACUGCCUGCUCCAUUUGGGUUUUCGUUCACCAGAACUUGCAUCAAACUUCUACAAAUAUUCAAACAAAUAUAUCCAGUUAAAUGUGUUCCUUCUGUUCUUCUGGAAACCUGACAGUAAACUUUAACUUCUAACAAGAUCCCCUAACUAAUAUCCCAUAUGUUUAUGGACAUAAUAGAACAAAUAGAAUUGAAGCAAUCCUCAUAGUUUCACUAAAAUAAUAAAUUAAUGUACACAAACUGCUAAUUUGUACAGACAAGCUUGACGCUGAUUUCAGAAGUUCUGUAACUCAGUCCUCAUCUACUGAAAAGUCUGGUUCUGCUGGCUUCUGCAGUGAGCUCACAACGCUUUUAUCUGAUCCAGAAUACUUAAUGACACCCCUUCUAGUGCUUGCUGCUAGCCUUGCAGCACGCAUAGCUAAGCCUGUGCCUGCUGAAGUAGGUUCAGGAUUAGCUGCUGUGGGGUUUUCUCUAGCUCUGAGUUCAGCUGCUUCCUUUCGUUUCUUAUACCGGCGCCAUGCUGCUUGUAUGAAACAUGCAGCCCAUGCUCUCCACUGAUGAGAGUAGAACCUGAAUUUCUGUCUCAGUUGCUUGCUGUGUAGUCUUCUAAAUUGUGAUGCUACGAACUUCAAGUCUUCUGCUCUCAGUGCAAAUGCCUCAACUUCUGAAAUGGCCUUGACAGUGCGAGUAGAUGAUGGAAGGAUGAUACAUGGCCUUGGUUCUAAAGCCCAUGUCAGCAAUUCCUCACCACAAAAAUCACCAGGACCAAUACGGCAAGAAUUGAAAAAUCCAGUACGACCACCAUUGGUGGUGUAAGAAUCAAGAUUACCACGGAUUAUGAAAAGCAUCUCAUUGACAAGGUCACCUUCACGGACAAGAAAUGUGCCUUCAGUAGACAACGCAGGUUUCAGCCUCUCACAUAUAGCAUCCAGCAUCCUUUCAUCCAUUUGAUCAAAUAAUGGAACUCGUCGAACUAAAUCAAGACAAAGGUGGCGUUUGAUGUCUCUUCGGAGAUCCAUAGGAAGACCUUUGAGAAGAGCUUCUUCAUCAACUCCUCUGGUGGCCACCCACUCGUACUGAUCAUAUUUCCGAACGGACUGUUUUAGCUCUGGUGGCAGCUGCCUGUGAUGCAUCCAUUGUUCUGUAUCAGUUCUCUUUAUUCUCCACUCUUCUAAACGAACAGUUGUUGAUUGCAAGUAUCUCUGCCAGUGGAAUGUUUAAAUAGAACCAGUAAAUCCACUGAUGAAAAAAUAUUAAGAUCAUCACUGUUCAAAGAUUUGUUAGAAUCCAAGAAUUAAUGAUGCACAAUAUACCAAGACAAUUUCUGUAACUUUGAAUGGCCCCUCUCAAUGUCUUGCUUCUAGAAAGAAAGUUAAGAAUCAAAGAUCAAGUUCAAAUUAUCGUAGUUUCUUUUAUAGUCCUAAUAGAUAAACUAGCUAGAAGAUCACGAUUCCAAUCAAAUAAAAAAGCAAACAUAAACUUGAAGAUGUAAUCUGCAGGCUUACUUGCAUGUUCCCGAUGAGCAACGCGAACAGAACGAGACCAAGUAUUGCAACUAUGAUGGCAAAACUUAUUUCACCUACGUAAGUACUUGUCGAAAGAUUUUGUCCCAAUGAACUCAGGUUCUUUAAGCCCCACCAAAGACAGUAGAAAUAUUUGUCGAAGAAUGUUGAAAUAGUAACGCCAUAUGUCAAAGCAUCACCAAAUAUACCGAAUUGAUAGUAAUCAAUAUCUGGAUUACAAAGAUUUGUCACAUUGCUUGUUUUGAACCAGGAUUCCCUAAAAGGGUCAUGCAUCUGGCGGCAAUCAAAAUAUUCAUAUUGGCAAGAAGGCUUCUCUAGAUUACAAACACUUCUCCAGCAUGCUUCUUGCCGCUCAAUUGAUAGAAGAUACCAGCAAGCUCCUAAAACAUGGCUUGCCAGCAUGUAUAGCAUUAGGUUAUAAGCAGCUCCUGCCCAUGCUGUUUCAGUCACAACACCAUUGGCCUUAAUAAUUCUUGAUGAAAGUGGAAAGAUAAGAAAAAGCCUUGGGAGGUACUGAAAAAUGAUGAUGAACCUAAGGACAUUUUUAGUAUUUGCCACUGUUGAGCCACCAAGAUGGGGGAUAACAAACCAAAUCAACACCUGGGGGAGAGGCAGGACAGCAACAAGAUCAAUCAAGAACUGCUGUUUUAGGUACCUUAUUGCAAUUUUUUUAGAAUCUAUGACAAGCUCCCCUCUCCCAAAAACACGGGAAGAAGGCGCAACAUAAGCAGUUCGAAAACGAAUGAAAAUCUGAAUCACAUAAAAGAUAUCAGCUAUAGUUCUAAUAAUUGUAAGGGCAAUUUCAAGGGGUAUUCCGAUAUGUAUGCAAGCUUCUUUUGAGACUAUUGGCAAGUGAAAGAAUAGAGGGUCUACAAAGAGUGAAACUAAGCAAGCUACUAAAAAAAUCUUAGUCCAUCUGUGAACUGUUGGUCCUCGAGGGUCCAAUAUCUUCUUCUUCACUCUCUCAUAGUCCUCAGAGAAAACUCUAGACAAUACUUUAGCUUUCAAUGAUCUUCCAGUCUUCCCAGGCACCUCCUUUUCAGAUUUCUUAGAACUAGACUCUGAUAUUUGUGUUCCAUCAAUGUUGUAUGCAAGCUUAACUACACCAUCUCCAUUGACUGUUGGGAGCUUGGCCAAUUCAAGAUCAUCUUUAAACCUUACACUUCUUGAAUUACCAUACCCCAUUGCGUUCUUGUGGUAAGUACAGCUAUGAUUUCAAUCACUGAAUUCUAUCUGGAAGGAGCACUAUACAGAGACAGGGGAGCCAUACAAAGUACAUUUCAUCAAACCCAAUUCCCUCCACUUUGUUUAUCUGUUGAUUCAUUCAGAUAAAGUAACUAAAACCCAAAAAACUUUUCAAAGAAACUGAAAAUGAAAAUUUUGCCAUCUGGGGAUUGAUGAACAAUGAACAGUUUCCAUUCUUCAACAUUACAAGACUCUUUUCUUGUUAUUCUCGUCUAAAAAAUGGUGGACAUGCUUGAAGACAUUAUUUCACAGUAUAGCAAGUGAAAGAGUAUAAGAACAGUAGGGAAG
RNAcentral lists this unclassified non-coding RNA (3163 nucleotides) under Hevea brasiliensis (rubber tree). The record is from RNAcentral. Lineage: Eukaryota; Viridiplantae; Streptophyta; Magnoliopsida; Malpighiales; Euphorbiaceae.